CCCUAGCAGCAGUGCCAGUAAAUUGGAAACAAAGGUUGCCAUUUGACCAAAGAUCGGGUAGUGUCUGCUAACACCAUUCCGGCUGCAGCACAGCUCCUUGAGCUGCUUCAUAACUUGUCAAGGAGCGCAGUGUUCAAAAAAGGAAAAUGUUACUGAUGGAGCACUUUAAGACGGGAGAGAGAAAGUCUGCGUCUCUCUCAUUUGCCUGAUUGAAGUGUCUGGAACACAAAAUCGCCUUUGUUCUCCACGCUCUGAUGGGAUGACUUUACCAGGGUUUUGGCAUUUCCUUUCCCUUAGAAGACGUGCUCUCGGCAAACUGGACCAGUUCACAAGGCAUUUUAUGAGAUAAAGGAAGUUAAUCUCCAGGCUUUUGAAGAGUCUGGCUUGCACCCACCACCCAGCUCAGCACAGAGGACCCUGGCCUGUAGCCUGAGUUACUGCGGAAUUCGUUAUAGAGGAUCACGAGCACAGAAGCAGCAGGUGUGUUAUCCACGACACCAGCUGGGCACAAACUUCUCACGAGAGAUUUUUAGGAGCGUCUUUCUUUACCACAGGAACGCAGGCUCCUCCUCCUUCUCUGACUCCCCACCAUCCUCAAACCCCUCGGUGUGUUUUGUAUCCUUGCUUUGUGUCUGCUCAUUAUGAGCACGAGAAGGUCCUGCCUCUGCACGGCUGUCGGCUGUCCACGUCCAGGCCCACGAGGACCCAAAACAUCCUGAAUCCUUGUCAUGGCAAUCUCAUGUAUUCUUUAAUAAAUAAUUUA
Long non-coding RNA from Canis lupus familiaris (dog), 763 nucleotides. RefSeq lists it as uncharacterized. The record is from RefSeq and is a predicted model, not a curated record. The transcript has 3 exons. Lineage: Eukaryota; Metazoa; Chordata; Mammalia; Carnivora; Canidae.